GCGCCCAUAGUUCAUUGGAUAUAAUGUUCGACUUCGGAUCAAAAGUUCGUGGGUUCAAAUCCUUCUUUUCGCA
Non-coding RNA from Picea glauca (white spruce), 73 nucleotides. Lineage: Eukaryota; Viridiplantae; Streptophyta; Pinopsida; Pinales; Pinaceae. The record is from Rfam.